CUCUCCUUCCUACUAAUUUAGUACAAAAAUUUAUAUAGUCUGUUUUUAAAGAUAUAAAAAACUUUAAAUAAGGGUAGCGCUCGUAGCGGGACUUAACCCAACAUCUCACGACACGAGCUGACGACAGCCAUGCACCUCCUGUAAAUUUUUUAUUAAUUAAUAUUAAUAAUUUAAAAUAAAUUUAGUCUAGUUCUGGUAAGGUUUAUCGCGUUACAUCGAAUUAAAUUACAUGCUCCACCGCUUGUACGAGCCCCCGUCAAUUCCUUUGAGUUUCACCCUUGCGAGCGUACUACUCAGGCGGAAUACUUAACGCGUUAGCUAGGGUACUGAAUUUAUAUAUUUAAUGUCUCCAGUACCGAGUAUCCAUUGUUUACAGUUAAGACUACUGGGGUAUCUAAUCCCAUUUGCUACCUUAACUUUCGUAUCUCAGUGUCAGUAUCGACCCAGUAAGA
RNAcentral lists this ribosomal RNA (452 nucleotides) under Toxoplasma gondii CAST. RNAcentral's name for it is "partial small subunit ribosomal RNA". Lineage: Eukaryota; Apicomplexa; Conoidasida; Eucoccidiorida; Sarcocystidae. The record is from RNAcentral.